Molecule: ribosomal RNA, 486 nt
Filed under: uncultured bacterium
Lineage: Bacteria
Description: bacterial SSU rRNA
Rfam family: Bacterial small subunit ribosomal RNA
Source: RNAcentral
GAUGAACGCUGGCGGCGUGCUUAACACAUGCAAGUCGAACGAAGCACUUUAUUACGAUUUCUUCGGAAUGACGAUUUAGUGACUGAGUGGCGGACGGGUGAGUAACGCGUGGGUAACCUGCCUUAUACAGGGGGAUAACAGUUAGAAAUGACUGCUAAUACCGCAUAAGCGCACAGGAUUGCAUGAUCUGGUGUGAAAAACUCCGGUGGUAUAAGAUGGACCCGCGUCUGAUUAGCUAGUUGGUGGGGUAACAGCCUACCAAGGCGACGAUCAGUAGCCGACCUGAGAGGGUGACCGGCCACAUUGGGACUGAGACACGGCCCAAACUCCUACGGGAGGCAGCAGUGGGGAAUAUUGCACAAUGGGGGAAACCCUGAUGCAGCGACGCCGCGUGAGCGAAGAAGUAUUUCGGUAUGUAAAGCUCUAUCAGCAGGGAAGAUAAUGACGGUACCUGACUAAGAAGCACCGGCUAAAUACGUGCCAGCA